This 76-nucleotide transfer RNA is filed under the name Burkholderia cenocepacia. Its description in RNAcentral is "tRNA-Ala". It matches the Rfam family "tRNA". Rfam says of the family: Transfer RNA (tRNA) molecules are approximately 80 nucleotides in length. Their secondary structure includes four short double-helical elements and three loops (D, anti-codon, and T loops). The record is from RNAcentral. Lineage: Bacteria; Pseudomonadati; Pseudomonadota; Betaproteobacteria; Burkholderiales; Burkholderiaceae.
GGGGCCAUAGCUCAACUGGGAGAGCGCCGCAAUGGCAUUGCGGAGGUUGGGGUUUCGAGUACCCCUGGUUCCACCA